This 75-nucleotide transfer RNA is filed under the name Verrucomicrobiota bacterium. RNAcentral's name for it is "Verrucomicrobia bacterium tRNA-Thr". It matches the Rfam family "tRNA". From Rfam's summary of the family: Transfer RNA (tRNA) molecules are approximately 80 nucleotides in length. The record is from RNAcentral. Lineage: Bacteria; Pseudomonadati; Verrucomicrobiota.
GCUUCAUUAGUUCUAGUGGUAAAACAGUCCCUUGGUACGGGACAGUCUCGAGUUCGAUUCUCGGAUGGAGCACCA